Non-coding RNA from Jatropha curcas, 276 nucleotides. The record is from RefSeq and is a predicted model, not a curated record. Lineage: Eukaryota; Viridiplantae; Streptophyta; Magnoliopsida; Malpighiales; Euphorbiaceae.
UUUGCCAUAGGUACCCGUGAGUAUCCUAUCCAUUUAUUAGUAAAAGAUAUAUUUUAAAUAAGUGCGGGUUUGGAUAGUUUAAAAUGAUUGGAUACCCUACUCAAGUAAAUGGUUACGGGUAAUUCAAAAUUCGCAAGUGCCCCUCCGCUUCCAUCCCUUAUUAAAACCCAAGAAGUACUGCAUGACCUGACGGGGGCGCCAAAUACCCCCUACCCUAUCAUCUUCAACCAAUUCUCUAACCAAAGUGGGAGGACUCUCCAUGAGAUGAAGCCCACG